RNAcentral lists this small nucleolar RNA (385 nucleotides) under Nothobranchius furzeri (turquoise killifish). RNAcentral describes it as "Small Cajal body-specific RNA 2 (ENSNFUG00015023828.1)". It matches the Rfam family "Small Cajal body-specific RNA 2". The record is from Rfam by way of RNAcentral. Lineage: Eukaryota; Metazoa; Chordata; Actinopteri; Cyprinodontiformes; Nothobranchiidae.
GUUGCCGGUGGUGAGCGAUUCUCCAGGUGAUGAUACAUCAGUAUAGCAUGAGUGGCUGGUUGUGUGCGUGUUGUUAGUUAGCGAGCGUCUGUGUGAGUGAAUGAGGAUUUUGCAUGUUGUGUUUAUAUUUUUGUAAAAACCUACACAGUGAUCUUAUUUGAUCUGGUCUGAGUUUGGCCUGCUCUGACUAGAAAUGAUUUUAAAAAGGUGCUUGCGAGCUUCUAUGGAGGCAAUGAGCAGCCGGCGACAAACACGUAAAAGGGCCUCCAAGCUUCGUGCCGUGGUCAGAAGUGAUGAAUUGAUCAGAUACUCUAGUUCUGGGUCGGCUUGAGGUUCGCCUUUAAGCUUUACCUUUGUGAACAAUGAGUAAAGAGGCGAUUCUGAA